RNAcentral lists this small RNA (385 nucleotides) under Pan troglodytes (chimpanzee). RNAcentral describes it as "processed transcript". The record is from RNAcentral. Lineage: Eukaryota; Metazoa; Chordata; Mammalia; Primates; Hominidae.
GCUGCGCGCUCUGCGCUGCCGCUGCGGCUGCUGCGGCCGCCGCGGCUGCGGCCGUGGCAAAGAAACAGGCUGCGGGCGGCAGGAAGGGCUGCUGGGGCUGCGGCUGGGGCUGCUGGCCGGCGCCGCCGCUCUCCAUCUUGGCAGAGCUUUCCAUGCGCAGCGGCGGCCAAGGAGUCGCGGAAUCAGAGCGAUCCGGGACGCGAGUGGGAGGUUAAAACCUUCAGCCCCACGUGCUGUUUGCAAACCUGCCUGUACCUGAGGCCCUAAAAAGCCAGAGACCUCACUCCCGGGGAGCCAGCAUGUCCACUGCGGUCCUGGAAAACCCAGGCUUGGGCAGGAAACUCUCUGACUUUGGACAGAUGAGGCAUGAAGAGAAUUCAGACAG